This 468-nucleotide ribosomal RNA is filed under the name uncultured bacterium. RNAcentral's name for it is "partial 16S ribosomal RNA". It matches the Rfam family "Bacterial small subunit ribosomal RNA", at positions 28 to 507 of the family's 1533-position model. The record is from RNAcentral.
GAUGAGCGCUGGCGGCGUGCUUAACACAUGCAAGUCGAACGGUGAAGGCGGAGCUUGCUCUGCUGGAUCAGUGGCGAACGGGUGAGUAACACGUGAGCAAUCUGCCCCUGACUCUGGGAUAAGCGCUGGAAACGGCGUCUAAUACUGGAUACGAGCUGCGAAGGCAUCUUCAGCAGCUGGAAAGAAUUUCGGUCAGGGAUGAGCUCGCGGCCUAUCAGCUUGUUGGUGAGGUAAUGGCUCACCAAGGCGUCGACGGGUAGCCGGCCUGAGAGGGUGACCGGCCACACUGGGACUGAGACACGGCGCAGACUCCUACGGGAGGCAGCAGUGGGGAAUAUUGCACAAUGGGCGAAAGCCUGAUGCAGCAACGCCGCGUGAGGGACGACGGCCUUCGGGUUGUAAACCUCUUUUAGCAGGGAAGAAGCGAAAGUGACGGUACCUGCAGAAAAAGCGCCGGCUAACUACGUG